Molecule: long non-coding RNA, 447 nt
Filed under: Homo sapiens (human)
Lineage: Eukaryota; Metazoa; Chordata; Mammalia; Primates; Hominidae
Description: HSALNT0078396
Source: RNAcentral
GGUUAAUGUUAUUUCUGGGUAUUUCUGUGAUGGUGCUUCUGGAAGAGAGUGGAAUUUGAAUCAGGAAACACAGUAAAAAAGAUCACCGUCAUCAGUGUGGGUGGGCAUCAUCCAAUCUGUUGAGAACCCAAAUAGAACAAAAAGGUGGAGGAAGGGCUAAUUUGCAAUCCGCUUGAGGUGGGACACCUGUCUUCUCCUGCCCUCAGACAUCAGUGCUCCUGGUUGUUGGGCCUUUGGGGCUGGACUGGAACUACACCACUGGCUUUCCUGGGCCUCCAGCUUGUAGAUUGUAGAUCACGGGACUUUUCAGCCUCCAUAAUCACGCAAGAAUUUCUGACAUGACAUGGGAAAAGCUGAAGAAGUCAGUCUUUGGGGUGUGUUUUCAUCUAGGAGGUGGCUUGAGAUGGAUUCAUGGCAAAUCACAAUAAAUUAUUUAUCAGAUAAUAA